RNAcentral lists this transfer RNA (105 nucleotides) under Penicillium coprophilum. It matches the Rfam family "tRNA". Rfam says of the family: Transfer RNA (tRNA) molecules are approximately 80 nucleotides in length. Their secondary structure includes four short double-helical elements and three loops (D, anti-codon, and T loops). The record is from Rfam by way of RNAcentral. Lineage: Eukaryota; Fungi; Ascomycota; Eurotiomycetes; Eurotiales; Aspergillaceae.
GGCAGCGUGGCCGAGCGGUUAAGGCGUAGCACUCGAAUUAUGAACUUUAACGUUCCUCGAAAUGCUAUUCAUUCGUGAGCGUGUGUUCGAAUCACACCGCUGUCG